This 548-nucleotide ribosomal RNA is filed under the name uncultured Glomeromycotina. RNAcentral describes it as "SSU rRNA". It matches the Rfam family "Eukaryotic small subunit ribosomal RNA", at positions 548 to 1098 of the family's 1831-position model. Lineage: Eukaryota; Fungi; Glomeromycota. The record is from RNAcentral.
UUGGAGGGCAAGUCUGGUGCCAGCAGCCGCGGUAAUUCCAGCUCCAAUAGCGUAUAUUAAAGUUGUUGCAGUUAAAAAGCUCGUAGUUGAAUUUCGAGACCGGUUUACUGGUCGUGCUUUUGUACGUACUGGUAUAAUCGGUUUCUCUUUUCUGACGAACUAUAAUGCCAUUAAUUUGGUGUUAUAGGGAAUCAGGACUGUUACUUUGAAAAAAUUAGAGUGUUUAAAGCAGGCUCACGCUUGAAUACAUUAGCAUGGAAUAACGGAAUAGGACGUUUGAUUCUAUUUUGUUGGUUUCUAGGAUCGACGUAAUGAUUAAUAGGGAUAGUUGGGGGCAUUAGUAUUCAAUUGUCAGAGGUGAAAUUCUUGGAUUUAUUGAAGACUAACUACUGCGAAAGCAUUUGCCAAGGAUGUUUUCAUUAAUCAAGAACGAAAGUUAGGGGAUCGAAGACGAUCAGAUACCGUCGUAGUCUUAACCAUAAACUAUGCCGACUAGGGAUCGGAUGAUGUUAAUUUUUUAAUGACUCAUUCGGCGCCUUACGGGAAAC